UAAAGAAGGCUUGAGCAUUAUACAUUAUAAAUUGGCAAAAUUAUAUUCUGUUUUUUGUAUGCAAAGGAGGAAAUAUGACUAAACUUAUGAAGUUUGUUUGUGUUAUGAUCUUCUUUCUUUUCCUAUUUCAUGUUGCAACAAGUGAUGACCGCCGUGAGUGUUUUGGUGACAAUCAUUGUGCACAUAUUAAGUGUAAGCUUUCUUGGAUUCCGCGGUGUACUAGUACUUUUCAAUGCAAAUGUAUGGAUCCCAUCUCUGGUACAACUUUAUAAGGAAGAAUGAUUUCAUGCACCAGCAAAAGAUCUAUGAAACAUCGUUAUGAUAUAUGUCAUAUAAGUCAUUUAAUAAUCAUAUGUCAUUGAAUAAUUGUAUUUGCACCCAAUAAUUUAAUUUAAUUUGUUUUAUUUUUA
Long non-coding RNA from Trifolium pratense (red clover), 410 nucleotides. RefSeq lists it as uncharacterized. The record is from RefSeq and is a predicted model, not a curated record. The transcript is spliced from 2 exons. NCBI's taxonomy places the organism in Eukaryota, Viridiplantae, Streptophyta, Magnoliopsida, Fabales, Fabaceae.